GACGAACGCUGGCGGCGUGCUUAACACAUGCCAGUCGAACGGAAAGGCCCUGCUUUUGUGGGGUGCUCGAGUGGCGAACGGGUGAGUAACACGUGAGUAACCUGCCCUUGACUUUGGGAUAACUUCAGGAAACUGGGGCUAAUACCGGAUAGGAGCUCCUGCUGCAUGGUGGGGGUUGGAAAGUUUCGGCGGUUGGGGAUGGACUCGCGGCUUAUCAGCUUGUUGGUGGGGUAGUGGCUUACCAAGGCUUUGACGGGUAGCCGGCCUGAGAGGGUGACCGGCCACAUUGGGACUGAGAUACGGGCCAGACUCCUACGGGAGGCAGCAGGGGGGAAUAUUGCACAAUGGGCGGAAGCCUGAUGCAGCAACGCCGCGUGCGGGAUGACGGCCUUCGGGUUGUAAACCGCUUUCGCCUGUGACGAAGCGUGAGUGACGGUAAUGGGUAAAGAAGCACCGGCUAACUACGUG
This 468-nucleotide ribosomal RNA is filed under the name uncultured bacterium. RNAcentral describes it as "partial 16S ribosomal RNA". It matches the Rfam family "Bacterial small subunit ribosomal RNA", at positions 28 to 507 of the family's 1533-position model. The record is from RNAcentral.